UUCCGGUUGAUCCUGCCGGAGGCCACUGCUAUCGGGGUCCGACUAAGCCAUGCGAGUCAAGGGGGUGUCCCUCUGGGACACCACCGGCGGACGGCUCAGUAACACGUCGGUAACCUACCCUCGGGAGGGGGAUAACCCCGGGAAACUGGGGCUAAUCCCCCAUAGGCCUGAGGUACUGGAAGGUCCUCAGGCCGAAAGGGGCUUUUGCCCGCCCGAGGAUGGGCCGGCGGCCGAUUAGGUAGUUGGUGGGGUAACGGCCCACCAAGCCGAAGAUCGGUACGGGCUGUGAGAGCAGGAGCCCGGAGAUGGACACUGAGACACGGGUCCAGGCCCUACGGGGCGCAGCAGGCGCGAAACCUCCGCAAUGCGGGAAACCGCGACGGGGGGACCCCGAGUGCCGUGGCACCGCCACGGCUUUUCCGGAGUGUAAAAAGCUCCGGGAAUAAGGGCUGGGCAAGGCCGGUGGCAGCCGCCGCGGUAAUACCGGCGGCCCGAGUGGUGGCCGCUAUUAUUGGGCCUAAAGCGUCCGUAGCCGGGCCCGUAAGUCCCUGGCGAAAUCCCACGGCUCAACCGUGGGGCUUGCUGGGGAUACUGCGGGCCUUGGGACCGGGAGAGGCGGGGGGUACCCCUGGGGUAGGGGUGAAAUCCUAUUAUCCCAGGGGGACCGCCGUGGGCGAAAGCGCCCCGCCUGGAACGGGCCCCACGGUGAGGGACAAAGGCCAGGGGAGCAAACCCGAUUAAAUACCCGGGUAGUCCU
This 757-nucleotide ribosomal RNA is filed under the name uncultured archaeon. RNAcentral's name for it is "bacterial SSU rRNA". It matches the Rfam family "Archaeal small subunit ribosomal RNA", at positions 1 to 748 of the family's 1478-position model. The record is from RNAcentral.